GCGGCACCGAGCACGCUCCCGGACGACGUCGUCCUCGAGGUCCUCGUGCGCGUCCCGGACGCCGGCACGUUGUUCCGGUGCGCCGCGGCGUGCAAGCGGUGGCGAGGGCUCAUCGUUCACCGGUCCUUCCUCCGCCGUCGCUGGGCGGCGAGCGCGUCCUACUUCGGCGGAUUCUUUGCUCGAGAGCGGCGGUGCCAAGGGGAACAGGACGAUGACGUUACGGACGCCAGCUCCCCGCCGAUCUUCAUCCCGGUGCAGCGGUCCGCAGCCGGUCCUGCUCCUGCCCGCCAUCCCCUCACCUCGUUUCUAGUCCCCGACAUGGCCGGCCUCUUGGCCGGAUCGGAGCCGCUAACUGCCCGCAACGGUCUCCUCCUGGUACGCCUCAGGCCGUGCGCCGCCGGAGGUGGUGGCCCUAUCCGUCUGGCUGCGUGCAACCUGAUCGCCGGCACUUGCGACGUGCUUCCUCCACUGGACAGCGGGUUCUCCUCGCCCAUAGGCUACACUGUCCUAACCGGCGAAGACUGCUUCUCCUCGCCUCCGCCAUCGCCUGCGCCCAACUACUCCACCUUCUUCAAGGUCCUAAUCUUCGGCCUCAGACACAUCCGAACUGGGAGGCUUGGGCAUGGCCACUACAAUCUCCACAUGUUCUCAUCAUCAUCGUCGAGCUGGAGCUCGCGUAUAGAGUUCGACGAUUUUUACAUCACGCGGGGCGAUAACGGCGAGCAGUGGCCGUACAUGGAGCAUAGCAUCGUCGUGGACCGCGGCGUGGCACACUACCUCCUCACAAAGUGGCCAGACCAACAUCGCCUGCCAUCUUACACUGUUGACAUGAAGGGCCACGUCUGCGUAAGGGAGCUAUGUCUCUCGUCUAACGAACCCACCGCCGACACUCAUCUUCUGGCCCUCGUCGGCGGCGAACGCUCGCUCUUUUUAAUGUUCACAGAGGAAAGCCUCCGGAUGGAGAUCUGGACAUUUAGAGGUGACGAUGGACAUGACAACUUAGACUGGAUUUACAAGGGGGUGAUGGAGCUGAAACCACCCAAGAACAGACGGAUUGAUGACGUGCUAUGGGUUUGGUCGGGAGAAAAGAGCAACACCUUGCUUAUCAUGGACUGGGACCUCCGCGCAUACCUUGCUAAUCUCGAAACUGGGGCGAUGGAGGAGAUGACGGAGCUGUUUUACAACACGGUUCCAAAUGCCGUGCCUGUAGAGAUAGAUUGGCCGGCUUUAUUCAGGACUCGGCUCGGUAGA
Molecule: ribosomal RNA, 1251 nt
Filed under: Triticum aestivum (bread wheat)
Lineage: Eukaryota; Viridiplantae; Streptophyta; Magnoliopsida; Poales; Poaceae
Description: partial small subunit ribosomal RNA
Source: RNAcentral